Molecule: ribosomal RNA, 754 nt
Filed under: uncultured Actinomyces sp.
Lineage: Bacteria; Bacillati; Actinomycetota; Actinomycetes; Actinomycetales; Actinomycetaceae
Description: bacterial SSU rRNA
Rfam family: Bacterial small subunit ribosomal RNA
Source: RNAcentral
GACGAACGCUGGCGGCGUGCUUAACACAUGCAAGUCGAACGAUGAUGCUCCAGCUUUGUUGGGGUGGAUUAGUGGCGAACGGGUGAGUAACACGUGAGUAACCUGCCCUCUUCUUUGGGAUAACGGUCGGAAACGGCUGCUAAUACUGGAUAUUCACUCAUUGGCGCAUGUUGGUGGGUGGAAAGGUUUUUUCUGGUGGGGGAUGGGCUCGCGGCCUAUCAGCUUGUUGGUGGGGUGAUGGCCUACCAAGGCUUUGACGGGUAACCGGCCUGAGAGGGUGACCGGUCACAUUGGGACUGAGAUACGGCCCAGACUCCUACGGGAGGCAGCAGUGGGGAAUUUUGCACAAUGGGCGCAAGCCUGAUGCAGCGACGCCGCGUGAGGGAUGAAGGCCUUCGGGUUGUAAACCUUUUUCGCUCAUGGUCAAGCCGCAGCUUUGGGUUGUGGUGAGGGUAGUGGGUAAAGAAGCGCCGGCUAACUACGUGCCAGCAGCCGCGGUAAUACGUAGGGCGCGAGCGUUGUCCGGAAUUAUUGGGCGUAAAGGGCUUGUAGGCGGUUGGCCGCGUCUGCCGUGAAAUCCUCUGGCUUAACUGGGGGCGUGCGGUGGGUACGGGUUGACUUGAGUGCGGUAGGGGAGACUGGAAUUCCUGGUGUAGCGGUGGAAUGCGCAGAUAUCAGGAGGAACACCGGUGGCGAAGGCGGGUCUCUGGGCCGCUACUGACGCUGAGGAGCGAAAGCGUGGGGAGCGAACAGG